This 217-nucleotide long non-coding RNA is filed under the name Brassica napus (rape). RNAcentral describes it as "long non-coding RNA (BNAP_LNC020255)". The record is from RNAcentral. Lineage: Eukaryota; Viridiplantae; Streptophyta; Magnoliopsida; Brassicales; Brassicaceae.
UCUAAAGCUCUCUUCCCUUGACCAGACCUUAUCCAAACUCCUCCUGUCGUGUUACACUCUCCAAAUGGAUGCAGGGUAACUUCCCAAGUCUUUUAACUUAGUUACCACAGUAACAAUAAAGUUACUGUGGUAAAUCUCCAAAGUUACUACCUGCUCCAAAUCCCUUCCUCUAUCCAUGUAUCAACUCUUCAUCUCCUCAUCUCAACACUUUAUUCUC